ACAUGCAAGUCGAGCGGGAAAGGUUCCUUCGGGGACUGAGUACAGCGGCGGACGGGUGAGUAAUGCGUGAUCGACCUGCCCUUGGGACGGGGAUAGCCACUGGAAACGGUGGGUAAUACCCGAUGUGACCACGACACCGCAUGGUGAUGUGGUAAAAAGGUUGGGAUCUUCGGACCUUCCGCCCAGGGAUGGGAUCACGUCCUAUUAGCUUGUUGGUGGGGUAACGGCCUACCAAGGCGAUGAUGGGUAGCGGGCCUGAGAGGGUGACCCGCCACACUGGAACUGAGACACGGUCCAGACUCCUACGGGAGGCAGCAGUGCUGAAUCAUUCGCCAAUGCGCGAAAGCGUGACGGUGCGACGCCGCGUGCGGGAUGAAGGUUUUCGGAUUGUAAACCGCUGUCAGGGCAUAGGAAACCACAGACGUUAAUAGCGGCUGUGCUGACCAUGCCCAAAGGAAGCACAGGCUAAUCUCGUGCCAGCAGCCGCGGUAAUACGAGAUGUGCAAGCGUUGCUCGGAAUCACUGGGCAUAAAGGGUGCGCAGGCGGCUUGGUAAGUCAGGUGUGAAAUCCCACGGCUCAACCGUGGAAUUGCUCUUGAUACUGCCAGGCUUGAGGGUGAAAGAGGCAAGCGGAAUUCCGGGUGUAGCGGUGGAAUGCGUAGAUAUCCGGGAGAACGCCAAUGGCGAAGGCAGCUUGCUGGGUCACUCCUGACGCUCAUGCACGAAAGCUAGGGGAGCAAACAGGAUUAGAUACCCUGGUAGUCCUAGCCGUAAACGAUGGGCACUGGGUCAUGGGACCUCUGAUGGUUUCAGGGCCGUCGCUAAUGCAUUAAGUGCCCCGCCUGGGGAGUAUGGUCGCAAGGCUAAAACUCAAAGGAAUUGACGGGGGCUCGCACAAGCGGUGGAGCAUGUUGUUCAAUUCGAAGCAACGCGAAGAACCUUACCUGGGCUUGACAUGCUAGCAGUAGGACCCCGAAAGGGUAACGACCGGUAUCCAAUCCGGAACUAGCACAGGUGCUGCAUGGCUGUCGUCAGCUCGUGUCGUGAGACGUUGGGUUAAGUCCCGUAACGAGCGAAACCCCUGUCGUCUGUUGCUACCGGGUCAUGCCGGGCACUCUGGCGAGACUGCCGGUGUUAAACCGGAGGAAGGUGGGGACGACGUCAAGUCAUCAUGGUCCUUACGCCCAGGGCUACAAACGUGCUACAAUGGCGAGUACAGAGAGAAGCGAUACCGCGAGGUGGAGCAAAUCUUCAAAGCCCGCCCCAGUUCAGAUUGGAGGCUGCAAUUCGCCUCCAUGAAGUUGGAAUCGCUAGUAAUCGCGGAUCAGCAACGCCGCGGUGAUACGUUCCUGAGCCUUGUACACACCGCCCGUCAAGCCACCCAAGCUGGAAGCACCCGAAGUC
Molecule: ribosomal RNA, 1404 nt
Filed under: uncultured organism
Description: 16S ribosomal RNA
Rfam family: Bacterial small subunit ribosomal RNA
Source: RNAcentral